Molecule: long non-coding RNA, 488 nt
Filed under: Salmo salar (Atlantic salmon)
Lineage: Eukaryota; Metazoa; Chordata; Actinopteri; Salmoniformes; Salmonidae
Description: lncRNA (ENSSSAG00000083726.1)
Source: RNAcentral
UAACAGUAGUGUUGGUCCUGGUCUCCAUGCUGUCAGGUAGAUGAUUAUAACAGUAGUGUUGGUCCUGGUCUCCAGACUGUCAGGUAGAUGAUUAUAACAGUAGUGCUGGUCUCCAGGCUGUCAGGUAGAUGAUUAUAACAGUAGUGUUGGUCUCCAGACUGUCAGGUAGAUGAUUAUAACAGUAGUGUUGGUCCUGGUCUCCAGACUGUCAGGUAGAUGAUUAUAACAGUAGUGUUGGUCCUGGUCUCCAGACUGUCAGGUAGAUAAUUAUAACAGUAGUGUUGGUCUCCAGACUGUCAGGAUGAUGAUUAUAACAGUAGUGCUGGUCUCCAGGCUGUCAGGUAGAUGAUUAUAACAGUAGUGUUGGUCUCCAGGCUGUCAGGUAGAUGAUUAUAACAGUAGUGUUGGUCUCCAGACUGUCAGGUAGAUGAUUAUAACAGUAGUGUUGGUCUCCAGACUGUCAGGUAGAUGAUUAUAACAGUAGUGUU